CUUGUUCACCAUCAGGUAUCUACCAAACUCGCUGCGACUUAUAACUCAUUCCACCUACUACAAGUGGUAUAUAAUUGCAAUAAUCCAGCAUUUAUCUAUUCAUACAACAACCAAGUUUUAUCUCACAUUCUUUGGGCAAUGAAAACUGGGAUGAGACUGAGAGAAUCCAUAACAAUUGCUUUCCUCCCCGUCGCCUUCUUGUUCCUGCUUUCUUUUGUAGCUUGUGCAGGGCCGUUGAGGUGGAUUCUUCUCUCAAGCUAUCUCAUCUACUACCUAUCUUUGUCUCUCUGGAUUUUGGCUGCAUUGUAUACUACUUGACAUCCAUUCCAUCAUGAGGGAACCGAGAAUGUUUUGAAAUGAGGGGUUUCACUGUCUCUAUUUUCUUACUUUUUGCUUUCCUUUAACCACUUUGACUGAUAAAAUCAACAAUCUUUUUUUGUUCUGAACCAUAAAGAGAGUAAUGUGGAAUUUUGAUCUUCCGCUUGUUAUUUUAAAGAAGCUACGUCUUCAACCUUCUCGCAUCUCAGUAUCGAACUAGCGCUUUUGGUUGGUU
Nicotiana attenuata is the source of this 553-nucleotide long non-coding RNA. RefSeq lists it as uncharacterized. The transcript is spliced from 2 exons. Lineage: Eukaryota; Viridiplantae; Streptophyta; Magnoliopsida; Solanales; Solanaceae. The record is from RefSeq and is a predicted model, not a curated record.